AAGACGGGUGGUAGAGGGCCAUUAUGCCAACGCCCUAAGCGUAAAGGUGCCCGAAGGCCCGCUCUUGCGAGUACGCUGCUGUCCUCGGUCUCGGUCGCUGUAUCCAGUAGGAGGCUAUAACACACCCCGAGAGGUGCCACGUUCCUCCUACCCUUCUCCAGUGCCCAAAACCGACGUUGGCCUGCAAUCUGGGAAAAACACCAAGCAAAAGCAAGGCUGAAUCCCAGGCCGCAUCUCUGACCUCCUACCCUUCCCUUUUGGCAAUUUCACGUACUGUUUAACUCUCUUUUCAAAGUUCUUUUCAUCUUUCCAUCACUGUACUUGUUCGCUAUCGGUCUCUCCCCAAUAUUUAGCCUUAGAUGGCAUUUACCACCCAUUUUGAGCUGCAUUCCCAAACAACUCGACUCUUAGAAAGCGUAUCACAAAGCCUCGGGCGCUCCAAGCCAUGUACGGGAUUAUCACCCUCUAUGAUGCCCCUUUCCAGGGGACUUAGGCUUGGUCCGAAGCGGAAAACACUUCUUGAGAUUACAAUGCGGACGCCGAAGACGCCAGCUUUCAAUCUUGGGCUCUUCCCUCUUCACUCGCCGUUACUAGGGGAAUCCUUGUUAGUUUCUUUUCCUCC
This 622-nucleotide ribosomal RNA is filed under the name Moesziomyces antarcticus. RNAcentral describes it as "partial 26S ribosomal RNA". The record is from RNAcentral. Lineage: Eukaryota; Fungi; Basidiomycota; Ustilaginomycetes; Ustilaginales; Ustilaginaceae.